AUUGAACGCUGGCGGAAUGCUUUACACAUGCAAGUCGAGCGGCAGCGCGGGGCAACCUGGCGGCGAGCGGCGAACGGGUGAGUAAUGCAUCGGCACGUACCCAGUCGUGGGGGAUAACUGUCCGAAAGGACAGCUAAUACCGCAUACGUCCUGAGGGAGAAAGCGGGGGAUCGCAAGACCUCGCGCGAUUGGAGCGGCCGAUGCCGGAUUAGCUAGUUGGUAGGGUAAAGGCCUACCAAGGCGACGAUCCGUAGCUGGUCUGAGAGGACGACCAGCCACACUGGAACUGAGACACGGUCCGGACUCCUACGGGAGGCAGCAGUGGGGAAUUUUGGACAAUGGGCGCAAGCCUGAUCCAGCCAUGCCGCGUGAGUGAAGAAGGCCU
This 385-nucleotide ribosomal RNA is filed under the name uncultured bacterium. RNAcentral describes it as "bacterial SSU rRNA". It matches the Rfam family "Bacterial small subunit ribosomal RNA", at positions 29 to 417 of the family's 1533-position model. The record is from RNAcentral.